GACGAACGCUGGCGGCGUGCUUAACACAUGCAAGUCGAACGGUAAGGCCCUUCGGGUACACGAGUGGCGAACGGGUGAGUAACACGUGGGUGAUCUGCCCUGCACUUCGGGAUAAGCUUGGGAAACUGGGUCUAAUACCGGAUAGGACCACGGUCUGCAUGGAUUGUGGUGGAAAGCUUUUGCGGUGUGGGAUGGGCCCGCGGCCUAUCAGCUUGUUGGUGGGUGAUGGCCUACCAAGGCGACGACGGGUAGCCGGCCUGAGAGGGUGUCCGGCCACACUGGGACUGAGAUACGGCCCAGACUCCUACGGGAGGCAGCAGUGGGGAAUAUCGCACAAUGGGCGCAAGCCUGAUGCAGCGACGCCGCGUGGGGGA
RNAcentral lists this ribosomal RNA (374 nucleotides) under uncultured bacterium. Its description in RNAcentral is "bacterial SSU rRNA". It matches the Rfam family "Bacterial small subunit ribosomal RNA", at positions 28 to 408 of the family's 1533-position model. The record is from RNAcentral.